ACAUUGAUGGAUAGCCACAUGGAUCCAGAAAAUAAAGACUUCUACUCUGCAUAUUGACUAAAGCAGAAGAUAUGCAGGGAAGCUCAGUCUCUCAAUUGAGUGGAUUCUGAAAUUUAUCCUGUUGUCUUCAGCUACUAAGGCUAAUUUGCAAAUCACACUGUGUACGGACGGCGUCUCGCUGUGUUGCCCAGGCUGGAGUGCAGUGGCGCGAUCUCAGCUCACUGCAACCUCACCUCCCGGGUUCAAGCAAUUCCUCUGCCUCAGCCUCCCGAGUAGCUGGGACUACAGGUGCGUGCCACCAUGCCUGGCUCAUUUUUUUUGUAUUUUAGUAGAGACGGGGUUUCACCAUGUUGGCCAGGAUGGCCCCGAUUUCCUGACCUUGUGAUCCGCCAGCCUCGGCCUUCCAAAGCGCUGGGAUUACAGUCAUGAGCCACCGCGCCCGGCC
RNAcentral lists this long non-coding RNA (445 nucleotides) under Pan troglodytes (chimpanzee). Its description in RNAcentral is "lincRNA". Lineage: Eukaryota; Metazoa; Chordata; Mammalia; Primates; Hominidae. The record is from RNAcentral.